RNAcentral lists this ribosomal RNA (497 nucleotides) under uncultured bacterium. RNAcentral describes it as "partial 16S ribosomal RNA". It matches the Rfam family "Bacterial small subunit ribosomal RNA", at positions 28 to 507 of the family's 1533-position model. The record is from RNAcentral.
GAUGAACGCUGGCGGCGUGCCUAAUACAUGCAAGUCGAGCGAACAGACGAGGAGCUUGCUCCUCUGACGUUAGCGGCGGACGGGUGAGUAACACGUGGAUAACCUACCUAUAAGACUGGGAUAACUUCGGGAAACCGGAGCUAAUACCGGAUAAUAUAUUGAACCGCAUGGUUCAAUAGUGAAAGACGGUUUUGCUGUCACUUAUAGAUGGAUCCGCGCCGCAUUAGCUAGUUGGUAAGGUAACGGCUUACCAAGGCAACGAUGCGUAGCCGACCUGAGAGGGGGAUCGGCCACACUGGAACUGAGACACGGUCCAGACUCCUAAGGGAGGCAGCAGUAGGGAAUCUUCCGCAAUGGGCGAAAGCCUGACGGAGCAACGCCGCGUGAGUGAUGAAGGUCUUCGGAUCGUAAAACUCUGUUAUUAGGGAAGAACAAAUGUGUAAGUAACUAUGCACGUCUAGACGGUACCUAAUCAGAAAGCCACGGCUAACUACGUG